GAGGCGGUUUUCGCGCGCUUUAAAACGAUAUUAUUAGACCUCGUAUGUCCGUUUGUUUACAUUUAAAAAAUACGUUUAUAAUUGCGUUGUUCUUAGUAGUCUCAGUUUUUACGUGCUAAACUUUAAAAUAAAUUGUGCUAACAUGUCUGGAAGAGGAUUAAGAAUGUUAGCACUCGUUCGAAAUAAUUAACAAAGUGAAAUUCCUGAAGUGGACAGGGUAUUACCUCCAGAACAUUCAAUGCCUGAAACUAACCUUCAAACAGGCCAAAUACCAAAAGCAUCAGAACCUAUUAGUCAAAUCGAAUCUGAAGAAAUCACGUCACUCCUACUUGUCCUAACAGAAUGUACGCCCAAUACCUGUAAUUUAAUAUUAUAAUUUUUGUUGAUAGAA
Anthonomus grandis grandis is the source of this 391-nucleotide long non-coding RNA. RefSeq lists it as uncharacterized. The transcript is spliced from 2 exons. The record is from RefSeq and is a predicted model, not a curated record. Lineage: Eukaryota; Metazoa; Arthropoda; Insecta; Coleoptera; Curculionidae.